Molecule: ribosomal RNA, 906 nt
Filed under: uncultured bacterium
Lineage: Bacteria
Description: bacterial SSU rRNA
Rfam family: Bacterial small subunit ribosomal RNA
Source: RNAcentral
GGCUCAGGAUGAACGCUAGCUACAGGCUUAACACAUGCAAGUCGAGGGGAAACGAUAUUGGAAGCUUGCUUCCGAUAGGCGUCGACCGGCGCACGGGUGAGUAACGCGUAUCCAACCUGCCCACCACUUGGGGAUAACCUUGCGAAAGUAAGACUAAUACCCAAUGAUAUCUCUAGAAGACAUCUGAAAGAGAUUAAAGAUUUAUCGGUGAUGGAUGGGGAUGCGUCUGAUUAGCUUGUUGGCGGGGUAACGGCCCACCAAGGCGACGAUCAGUAGGGGUUCUGAGAGGAAGGUCCCCCACAUUGGAACUGAGACACGGUCCAAACUCCUACGGGAGGCAGCAGUGAGGAAUAUUGGUCAAUGGGCGAGAGCUUGAACCAGCCAAGUAGCGUGCAGGAUGACGGCCCUAUGGGUUGUAAACUGCUUUUAUAAGGGAAUAAAGUGAGUCUCGUGAGACUUUUUGCAUGUACCUUAUGAAUAAGGACCGGCUAAUUCCGUGCCAGCAGCCGCGGUAAUACGGAAGGUCCGGGCGUUAUCCGGAUUUAUUGGGUUUAAAGGGAGCGUAGGCCGGAGAUUAAGCGUGUUGUGAAAUGUAGACGCUCAACGUCUGCACUGCAGCGCGAACUGGUUUCCUUGAGUACGCACAAAGUGGGCGGAAUUCGUGGUGUAGCGGUGAAAUGCUUAGAUAUCACGAAGAACUCCGAUUGCGAAGGCAGCUCACUGGAGCGCAACUGACGCUGAAGCUCGAAAGUGCGGGUAUCGAACAGGAUUAGAUACCCUGGUAGUCCGCACGGUAAACGAUGGAUGCCCGCUGUUGGUCUGAAUAGGUCAGCGGCCAAGCGAAAGCAUUAAGCAUCCCACCUGGGGAGUACGCCGGCAACGGUGAAACUCAAAGGAAUUGACGGA